AGCCACUGCUAUUGGAAUGCGACUAAGCCAUGCGAGUCAAGGGGCUCUUCGGAGCACCGGCGUACGGCUCAGUAACAUGUGGGUAACCUACCCUCAGGUGGUGGAUAACCUCGGGAAACUGAGGCUAAUACUCCAUAGAUAAAAGAUACUGGAAUGUUCUUUUAUCGAAAACUCUGGUGCCUGAGGAUGGGCCUGCGCCCGAUUAGGUUGUUGGUGAGGUAGUGGCUCACCAAGCCUACGAUCGGUACGGGUCGUGAGAGCGAUAGCCCGGAGAUGGGGACUGAGACAAGGCCCCAGGCCCUACGGGGCGCAGCAGGCGCGAAAUCUCUCCAAUGUGUGAAAACAUGAGAGGGGUAUUCCAAGUGUCCUUGUUUUACAAGGACUUUUAUUCGGUUUAAGACGCUGGAAGAAUAAGAGCUGGUAAGACCGGUGCCAGCCGCCGCGGUAACACCGGCAGCUCGAGUGGUGGCCGCUAUUAUUGGGCCUAAAGCGUUCGUAGCCGGGCAGGUAAGUGUUCUGGUAAAUCCCAUAACUUAAUUAUGGGGCUUCAGAAUAUACUGCCUGCCUUGAGACCGGGAGAGGCUGGAGGUACUUUCGGGGUAGGGGUAAUAUCCUAUAAUCCCGAAAGGACCACCGGUGGCGAAGGCGUCCAGCCAGAACGGGUCAGACGGUGAGGGACGAAACCCAGGGGAGCGAGUCGGAUUAGAUACCCGAGUAGUCCUGGGCGUAAAUGAUGUGGGCUAGGUGCAAAGCUACCUAAGUGGUAGCUUGGUGCCGAUGGGAAGCCGUUAAGCCCACCGCCUGGGGAGUACGGCCGCAAGGCUGAAACUUAAAGGAAUUGGCGGGUGAGCACCACAAGGGGUGGAGGCUGCGGUUU
RNAcentral lists this ribosomal RNA (877 nucleotides) under uncultured archaeon. RNAcentral describes it as "bacterial SSU rRNA". It matches the Rfam family "Archaeal small subunit ribosomal RNA", at positions 21 to 903 of the family's 1478-position model. The record is from RNAcentral.